UGGGGAAUUUUGGACAAUGGGGGAAACCCUGAUCCAGCCAUCCCGCGUGUGCGAUGAAGGCCUUCGGGUUGUAAAGCACUUUUGGCAGGAAAGAAACGUCGCGGGUUAAUACCCCGCGAAACUGACGGUACCUGCAGAAUAAGCACCGGCUAACUACGUGCCAGCAGCCGCGGUAAUACGUAGGGUGCAAGCGUUAAUCGGAAUUACUGGGCGUAAAGCGUGCGCAGGCGGUUCGGAAAGAAAGAUGUGAAAUCCCAGAGCUUAACUUUGGAACUGCAUUUUUAACUACCGGGCUAGAGUGUGUCAGAGGGAGGUGGAAUUCCGCGUGUAGCAGUGAAAUGCGUAGAUAUGCGGAGGAACACCGAUGGCGAAGGCAGCCUCCUGGGAUAACACUGACGCUCAUGCACG
Molecule: ribosomal RNA, 408 nt
Filed under: uncultured bacterium
Lineage: Bacteria
Description: partial 16S ribosomal RNA
Rfam family: Bacterial small subunit ribosomal RNA
Source: RNAcentral